This 2951-nucleotide ribosomal RNA is filed under the name Triticum aestivum (bread wheat). RNAcentral's name for it is "partial small subunit ribosomal RNA". Lineage: Eukaryota; Viridiplantae; Streptophyta; Magnoliopsida; Poales; Poaceae. The record is from RNAcentral.
CGUCUCGGAAGCGAAGCCAUGCUAGCUUCGAGGCCGUCGGGCUUAGAGGAGUGCGAACUUCGUAGACACGACCGAGGAACUGAUACUGGUAGCUCUUCUACCCAUCUUUCUUCUUAGGUUAACAGAAAGACCUACAUAGCUAUCCACUACCCGGACUGCUUUCUUACUAUAAACUCGACAAACGAUUACAACGAGGGGAAUGUCGUCUCUUGAAGUCUCGUAAUACGUGUCCACUCUACCCUUAACCUGUUAGUUGAUUCUUCGGUAAUAUAAUGUUCCCUAGUUGUAAGGUGGCACAGUAGUUCCCCAAGUACCGUGUUCCACCACUGAAGAGCUUACCUCUGCCUUUACCACCUCUUUCAUAUAUGCCACUUGUUAAACUUCUACUUUUAAAACACGAUGCGGUACUACUGGCCCCAGAGAACAGUUACCGUUUACGACCUGCAUUAUGGUUACCGAGGGUCAAGAAGUAAUGCAAGUUCGGAUUAAGAGUAGAACUGUCCUUCUUGUGACAAAAACCGUUCGAAUAAGAACCUUUACUACACGACUUCUCCUAACUCGUACAACUACACCUACCAAGAUGAUUAUUCGGAUAACAAGGUCAUUCUUAUCACCUAACACCCCUCGAACAACUACCAUUUCCGGCCCCUAGACAGAGUUGACUUUUACUAUUUUUCUUUCAAUUCAGUUUCAACAGGUAACUAAGUAGACUUCUGCUUCCAUUACUUCUUUUUGUGUUCCCGGCAGCGUUCUUUAGAAACUUCUCCUCUUUCUUCUUCUCUUCUAUGAGAAGAAGUCUUAGUCUUUGGAGUAGACUCAGACUCAGCAGUCUAAGGCUCUCACUUAGUCUAAUGAGGUCGCUCAGUAGACUGUAGUCGUCAAGUUCACUACUGUUCGCCUCUGCUUCCUUCUCUGUGAGGUUCUUCCUAUUUGCGUUCGUACCCUUUUCUUCCGCUCUAGCGUCCGCGCUCUUUUCUGCAUCUUUCGCACUGUCCUUUAGCUUCGUCUUCAGUUUUUCCUACCAUCUCUCACUGUCACUUUGACCUUUACGCUCACUAUCGUCGAGACUCCUACGGUCUUCUUUCGCCGUUGCAGUACCUUCCUUUAGAUUCCGAUGUAGAGUUUAAAGACUAGUGUGUCGUCAUCGACGAGACUUACUACGGUGAAGUUGAGUCCUUUUCCAACCUUGUGGUUCCUCAGACCGUGUUCUUCUGUUUAGAGUUGACCUCUUACCGCUCUACGCGUGUUUACCACAAUGGCUGAGGUUUAGACUUUCCUUCCGACCAUAGCACGGACAAGAUUGACCGUCGGCUUCGUUUAGAUCCUCGGUCUCGUGCUCACGAUUAGUGAGGUACUCGUUCUCGUACUCACAUUCAGGGUCUUCGGGUUAGUUUUCCAGUUUGCAGUCGGACCUCUCUAACCAUUCGGGCUCAGGACAAGUAGUCGCAUCAUCUUCAGGACAGGUACGAAGGUUUGUUUUUCUUUCGUCCUCGGGUGGGGCUGUCUCCUUAUACUCGUACUCAGGAGUAGCUUCUUCGGGGUCGUUCUCGGGUGGACCUUCCCGUUCGUCUUCGGGACAACAGGCGUCCUUGUCCUCAGGACAACUUCAAGCCUGUUCUUCGUAAUCGUCCUCGAGUCGAUCCAGGAACGUCGCCUCUUCAGGUUCAUCCUCGGGCCUUUCUUGGGUACACGCUUUUUCACAGUCAGGUUCGGGGUGUGGAUACCUCUUCCCUUUUUCGUAAUCGGCUUGAAGACGUUCUAGAGGCGACGUGUUCCCAAAAUCGGCCUCGGGACUAUACGGAGGAUCUUUCUGAUGUUCGUCUUCGGGAGUUUCCUUACGAGUAUCUUUGAAAUCGUCCUCGGGACACCCUAGAAGAUCUUCUUCGAACUGGGGACAUGCUCCACCAGCUAGAGCGUCCUUGCGGUCGUCUUCAGGAUCGGGUGGAGCGUCCCGUCAUAGUGGUGAGUUAGUGCCAUCCUCGGGUAGAUCCUCACAGAGAGGGCUACCUAGUUUUGCGUAUUCUUCUCCCUCCCCGAAAUGAGUUGCAAUGAGUAAACGUUCUGUCAUAGCAAGUGGAAGACAACUAGCAAGAGUGGCGAUACCACCUUCUCCACUAGCACUGUCCAUAUAGUCAGUGUCCCCGAGAGCAAUAGCUAGUGGAGGUUCUGCUAUGUCUUCGGGAGGUUCUUCUCGUAGCGGUUCCAGAUCGUCCAUGUCUUCCUCCUCGGCUUCGCACAGUGCGUCGGGUGGUCGAAUAGCUCUGGCGUGUUCCCCUCCACCGAUGUCGUCCUCAGGUCAUGCAUCAGCAAGCGGAGGACCACCCUUUGGUUCAAGGGCGCCACUAGCACGUGCCAGCGAGAGGUCCUCGUCCUCGGACAGACCCAGUUCUAGUUCCAGGGGUGGUGGACACGUCCUAGCGAGGGGGUAACGGAGGGGUAGAGGUUUUGCACGUUCAUUGCUGUCCAGGGCCAGAUACAGCCACUCAGGACUUCCCUUCUUCCCAAACCAAAGGAUACCUCUACCGAGGGGACUAAGACGACCCUUCAUCCCCUUUUUCUUUCUUCCGUAAGUGAUCGACAAAGGGGACGACAACAAGUCGAGACAAUUUUACAAUGUAUACACUAAGCUCUACUAAAACUUAAACCAACUUAAUAGAGACCUGUUGGUAUUAGACUCCAAUCAGAUACCAAAACAAUUAACGUACGGUUGUAAAAGAACAUAGUUAGGAACAAUUACCACGCUUAGUACCAAAAAUAGUUUCGACGAUGUACAUCAUUAGGAUAUGAAAACUGUUUAUACCUGUGGCUCAGAGAAUACUAGGUCAGGCUCAAUAGAAACGAGAGUGCUUGCUAGAGCUCCAAAUCAUAGAUCGUGCAGGCAUACGAUAUAUACUUGACAAGGAUAAACAUUGUAUGAUGUUUAUAUGUCAUAGACUAAUAGUGACUACCAA